RNAcentral lists this ribosomal RNA (404 nucleotides) under Actinomycetes bacterium. RNAcentral describes it as "Actinobacteria bacterium partial 16S ribosomal RNA". It matches the Rfam family "Bacterial small subunit ribosomal RNA", at positions 355 to 776 of the family's 1533-position model. The record is from RNAcentral. Lineage: Bacteria; Bacillati; Actinomycetota; Actinomycetes.
UGGGGAAUAUUGGACAAUGGGCGCAAGCCUGAUCCAGCCAUGCCGCGUGAGUGAUGAAGGCCCUAGGGUUGUAAAGCUCUUUCACCGGUGAAGAUAAUGACGGUAACCGGAGAAGAAGCCCCGGCUAACUUCGUGCCAGCAGCCGCGGUAAUACGAAGGGGGCUAGCGUUGUUCGGAUUUACUGGGCGUAAAGCGCACGUAGGCGGACUUUUAAGUCAGGGGUGAAAUCCCGGGGCUCAACCCCGGAACUGCCUUUGAUACUGGAAGUCUUGAGUAUGGUAGAGGUGAGUGGAAUUCCGAGUGUAGAGGUGAAAUUCGUAGAUAUUCGGAGGAACACCAGUGGCGAAGGCGGCUCACUGAACCAUUACUGACGCUGAGGUGCGAAAGAGUGGAGAGCAAACAGG